GACGAACGCUGGCGGCGUGCCUAAUACAUGCAAGUAGAACGCAGUUGCGAACGGGUGAGUAACGCGUAGGUAACUGCCUCAUAGCGGGGGAUAACUAUUGGAAACGAUAGCUAAUACCGCAUACUGUGAGAUGGACCUGCGUUGUAUUAGCUAGUUGGUGAGGUAAAGGCUCACCAAGGCGACGAUACAUAGCCGACCUGAGCAGGUGACCAGCCACACUUGAACUGGUACACGGUCCAGGAUCCUACGGGAGGAAGCAGUAGGGAAUCUUGGGCAAUGGGCGGAAGUCUGACCGCGCAACGCCGCGGGAGUGAAGAAGGUUUUCGGAUCGUAAAGCUCUGUUGUGUGAGAAGCGGUAACUAAACAGAAAGGGACGGCUAACUACGUGCCAGCCGCCGCGGUAAUUC
RNAcentral lists this ribosomal RNA (407 nucleotides) under uncultured bacterium. Its description in RNAcentral is "partial 16S ribosomal RNA". It matches the Rfam family "Bacterial small subunit ribosomal RNA", at positions 28 to 526 of the family's 1533-position model. The record is from RNAcentral.